GGAGAGGUGCCAGAGCGGCUUAUUGGGGCGGUCUCGAAAAUCGUUGUGCUCUUUUAGAGUACCGAGGGUUCGAAUCCCUCCCUCUCCG
This 88-nucleotide transfer RNA is filed under the name Planctomycetota bacterium. Its description in RNAcentral is "Planctomycetes bacterium (wastewater metagenome) tRNA-Ser". It matches the Rfam family "tRNA". From Rfam's summary of the family: Transfer RNA (tRNA) molecules are approximately 80 nucleotides in length. Their secondary structure includes four short double-helical elements and three loops (D, anti-codon, and T loops). Lineage: Bacteria; Pseudomonadati; Planctomycetota. The record is from RNAcentral.